RNAcentral lists this unclassified non-coding RNA (335 nucleotides) under soil metagenome. Its description in RNAcentral is "partial contains 5.8S ribosomal RNA, internal transcribed spacer 2, and large subunit ribosomal RNA". The stretch from base 1 to 120 matches the Rfam family "5.8S ribosomal RNA", at positions 35 to 154 of the family's 154-position model. The record is from RNAcentral.
GAUGAAGAACGCAGCGAAAUGCGAUAAGUAAUGUGAAUUGCAGAAUUCAGUGAAUCAUCGAAUCUUUGAACGCACAUUGCGCCCGCCAGUAUUCUGGCGGGCAUGCCUGUUCGAGCGUCAUUUCAACCAUCAAGCCCCCGGCUUGUGUUGGGGACCUGCGGCUGCCGCAGGCCCUGAAAACCAGUGGCGGGCUCGCUAGUCACUCCGAGCGUAGUAGUUACAUCUCGCUCAGGGCGUGCUGCGGGUUCCGGCCGUUAAAAGCCUUAUUUCCCCAAGGUUGACCUCGGAUCAGGUAGGAAGACCCGCUGAACUUAAGCAUAUCAAUAAGCGGAGGA